GGAAUAUUGGUCAAUGGGCGAGAGCCUGAACCAGCCAAGUAGCGUGCAGGAAGACUGCCCUAUGGGUUGUAAACUGCUUUUAUGCGGGAAUAAAGUCAGGUACGUGUACCUGUUUGUAUGUACCGCAUGAAUAAGGACCGGCUAAUUCCGUGCCAGCAGCCGCGGUAAUACGGAAGGUCCGGGCGUUAUCCGGAUUUAUUGGGUUUAAAGGGAGCGCAGGCUGAAGAUUAAGCGUGACGUGAAAUGUCCCGGCUCAACCGUGGAACUGCGUCGCGAACUGGUUUUCUUGAGUGAGUACGACGUCAGCGGAAUUUGUGGUGUAGCGGUGAAAUGCUUAGAUAUCACGAAGAACCCCGAUUGCGAAGGCAGCUGACGAGUCCUUAACUGACGCUAAAGCUCGAAAGUGCGGGUAUCGAACA
Molecule: ribosomal RNA, 419 nt
Filed under: uncultured Prevotella sp.
Lineage: Bacteria; Pseudomonadati; Bacteroidota; Bacteroidia; Bacteroidales; Prevotellaceae
Description: bacterial SSU rRNA
Rfam family: Bacterial small subunit ribosomal RNA
Source: RNAcentral